CUGUUUAGAGUGUGAGAGCAGCUAUGAACACUUUCUUAGAUUAUAAACUAUGCAAACUGUGAUCUUCUGCCCUUGAGAUUAAACUAGCAAGUACUAUGAAGAUUGUGAUUAGCUAGUGAGAAACAGAAGAAUGACUCAAAAAGGGACUAUAUCCCUAAAGGCCCUGAAUCAAGGCACAGAGGCAGUACCAUCGGGGUGACAGAUAUGGGACACUGGAGGACUGAAAACUAAUAUCAGAA
Odocoileus virginianus texanus is the source of this 239-nucleotide long non-coding RNA. RefSeq lists it as uncharacterized. Lineage: Eukaryota; Metazoa; Chordata; Mammalia; Artiodactyla; Cervidae. The record is from RefSeq and is a predicted model, not a curated record.